UGUUGAAACUCAGGUUCUCGUAUGAUCACCUAAGUUAAGCAAUGCCAAGCCGUAUCAGUACCUAGGUCAGUGACUGCUUGGGAAUACCAGGUGCUGUAA
Acanthosepion pharaonis is the source of this 99-nucleotide non-coding RNA. Lineage: Eukaryota; Metazoa; Mollusca; Cephalopoda; Sepiida; Sepiidae. The record is from the annotation of a GenBank genome assembly.